RNAcentral lists this ribosomal RNA (465 nucleotides) under uncultured bacterium. RNAcentral's name for it is "partial 16S ribosomal RNA". It matches the Rfam family "Bacterial small subunit ribosomal RNA", at positions 28 to 507 of the family's 1533-position model. The record is from RNAcentral.
GACGAACGCUGGCGGCGUGCUUAACACAUGCAAGUCGAACGGAAAGGCCCUGCUUGCAGGGUACUCGAGUGGCGAACGGGUGAGUAACACGUGGGUGAUCUGCCCUGCACUUCGGGAUAAGCCUGGGAAACUGGGUCUAAUACCGGAUAGGAGCCAUCUUUAGUGUGAUGGUUGGAAAGUUUUUUCGGUGUAGGAGGAGCUCGCGGCCUAUCAGCCUGUUGGUGGGGUAAUGGCCUACCAAGGCGGCGACGGGUAGCCGGCCUGCGAGGGUGGACGGCCACAUUGGGACUGAGGAACGGCCCAGACUCCUACGGGGGGCAGCAGUGGGGAAUAUUGCACAAUGGGCGCAAGCCUGAUUCAGCGACGCCGCGUGGGGGAUGACGGCCUUCGGGUUGUAAACUCCUUUCGCUAGGGACGAAGCUUUUUGUGACGGUACCUAGAUAAGAAGCACCGGCUAACUACGUG